RNAcentral lists this long non-coding RNA (231 nucleotides) under Elaeis guineensis (African oil palm). RNAcentral describes it as "long non-coding RNA (EGUI_LNC082246)". The record is from RNAcentral. Lineage: Eukaryota; Viridiplantae; Streptophyta; Magnoliopsida; Arecales; Arecaceae.
CAUGCGGCAAGUGCAGGUCGGCCAGAGGAGAUCCGCAAUCAUCACUGCGCUGGGCCCUGUUGCUUAUUUAAACACGUCCUCCUCCUUCAAGGGUUUCACUUUGCCUGAGAAAAUCCCUCGGUCCCCUCUUCUUCCCCAAGAGAUCUAGCUUCCUUUAGCAUCCUUCUCGGCCUUAGGCAUCCUCCGGGUCGACUUCCAUCGUCCUUGCCAUCUUCCUGCAUUCCUCGGGCC